ACGCUAGCUACGGCUUACACAUGCAGUCGAGGGGUAGCAGGAACUAGCAAUAGUUUGCUGACGACCGGCGCACGGGUGAGUAACACGUAUCCAACCUUCCGUUAACUCGGGGAUAGCCUUCUGAAAGGGAGAUUAAUACCCGAUAGUAUAACCAUUUCGCAUGUUUUGGUUAUUAAAGAAUUUCGGUUAUCGAUGGGGAUGCGUUUCAUUAGAUAGUUGGUGAGGUAACGGCUCACCAAGGUCUUCGAUGAAUAGGGGUUCUGAGAGGAAGGUCCCCCACACUGGUACUGAGACACGGACCAGACUCCUACGGGAGGCAGCAGUGAGGAAUAUUGGUCAAUGGGCGAGAGCCUGAACCAGCCAAGUAGCGUGAAGGAUGACUGCCCUAUGGGUUGUAAACUUCUUUUAUAUGGGAAUAACAUCCACUACGUGUAGUGGUCUGUAUGUAACCAUUUGAAUAAAGCAUCGGCUAACUCCGUGCCAGCAGCCGCCGGUUAAUACAGAGGGUGCGAGCGUUAAUCGGAUUUACUGGGCGUAACAGCGUGCGUAGCGGUUAAGUCAGCUGUGACAGUAUGCGACUCAACCGUAGAAUUGCAGUUG
This 600-nucleotide ribosomal RNA is filed under the name uncultured bacterium. Its description in RNAcentral is "bacterial SSU rRNA". It matches the Rfam family "Bacterial small subunit ribosomal RNA", at positions 33 to 629 of the family's 1533-position model. The record is from RNAcentral.